AUUAAACGCUGGCGGCAUGCCUUACACAUGCAAGUCGAACGGCAGCACGGGGGCAACCCUGGUGGCGAGUGGCGGACGGGUGAGUAAAGCAUCGGAACGUAUCCUGGAGUGGGGGAUAACGUAGCGAAAGUUACGCUAAUACCGCAUAUUCUGUGAGCAGGAAAGCAGGGGAUCGCAAGACCUUGCGCUCUGGGAGCGGCCGAUGUCGGAUUAGCUAGUUGGUGGGGUAAAGGCCUACCAAGGCGACGAUCCGUAGCGGGUCUGAGAGGAUGAUCCGCCACACUGGGACUGAGACACGGCCCAGACUCCUACGGGAGGCAGCAGUGGGGAAUUUUGGACAAUGGGCGGAAGCCUGAUCCAGCCAUGCCGCGUGAGUGAAGAAGGCCUUC
RNAcentral lists this ribosomal RNA (389 nucleotides) under uncultured bacterium. Its description in RNAcentral is "bacterial SSU rRNA". It matches the Rfam family "Bacterial small subunit ribosomal RNA", at positions 29 to 419 of the family's 1533-position model. The record is from RNAcentral.